RNAcentral lists this ribosomal RNA (253 nucleotides) under uncultured bacterium. RNAcentral describes it as "partial 16S ribosomal RNA". It matches the Rfam family "Bacterial small subunit ribosomal RNA", at positions 524 to 776 of the family's 1533-position model. The record is from RNAcentral.
UACGGAGGGUGCAAGCGUUAUCCGGAUUCACUGGGUUUAAAGGGUGCGUAGGCGGAUCUGUAAGUCAGUGGUGAAAUCUCCGGGCUUAACCCGGAAACUGCCGUUGAUACUAUAGAUCUUGAAUGUUGUGGAGGUUAGCGGAAUAUGUCAUGUAGCGGUGAAAUGCAUAGAUAUGACAUAGAACACCAAUUGCGAAGGCAGCUGGCUACACAAAUAUUGACGCUGAGGCACGAAAGCGUGGGGAUCAAACAGG